CAGGACGUCAUACUCCCGUAAUACCACUGUGAAUCUUACCUACCGUCGUUGCCUCGGCGGGGUCUGUCCCUUCGGGGGCGCCCGCCGGUGGCCCGCAUACUCUGUCUCAGCGUGUUGGCAUCUCCGAGUACAAUACAAACGAGUCA
RNAcentral lists this unclassified non-coding RNA (146 nucleotides) under uncultured Phomatospora. RNAcentral's name for it is "sequence contains ITS1". Lineage: Eukaryota; Fungi; Ascomycota; Sordariomycetes. The record is from RNAcentral.